This 236-nucleotide long non-coding RNA is filed under the name Elaeis guineensis (African oil palm). RNAcentral's name for it is "long non-coding RNA (EGUI_LNC047528)". Lineage: Eukaryota; Viridiplantae; Streptophyta; Magnoliopsida; Arecales; Arecaceae. The record is from RNAcentral.
AUCUAAACACCAUCCAAUGGCCCAAAUAUGUGGCACCCCUUUCAGAUAUGGAAUGGGAAUGAAAGCAAGCAUGAGAGACCUGAGAGUCCAUAACCACCUGGACUCCAGUGGCAUAUAGAUAAGGGUGCAGCUAAGAUAGAAUCAAAUCAAUAUUUGGUUUCUUUUCUUAUCCAACCAACUAUCCAACUCAUGGCCGACCAAAACACCACAUCUAAGAAGGAAUAUGCAUGGAAUAU